Molecule: ribosomal RNA, 1125 nt
Filed under: Triticum aestivum (bread wheat)
Lineage: Eukaryota; Viridiplantae; Streptophyta; Magnoliopsida; Poales; Poaceae
Description: partial small subunit ribosomal RNA
Source: RNAcentral
AUGGCGGCGGCAGCGACGUCCUGCUUCGUCCUCGUCCUCGCGCUCUGCCUUCUCGUGUCCAUGGCGCUGAUGGCGGGGCACUACUACGGCCGGGCGGAGCUGGUCGCCGGCCCGGGCUGCUCGCGGCUCCUGCGGGCGAACCCGCUAUUGGUGCAGGACAUCACGGUGAGGACUGCGGAGGAGGAAGAAGGGUCGGGGGCGAACGGGCUCGUGCUCUACGGGCUCGCCGAGAUACCCGGCCUCGACGACGUGCCCGCGGUGUGGUCGGAGGCUCGCCGCGUCGUGCUGCCGGCCAACUCUCACAAGGAAUGGGUCUAUUUUCUGAACGAAGGUAGUCAGAUCGAGGUCAACUACAGCGUCGAGCCUGUAACUGGACUAACCAAUCCACUCCGGAUCACCAUUGCUCAAGUAGCAGGUAAGGAAGGCUUCACGCAGUGGUCAGAGGAACCAUCGGUAAACGGAACCGGAGCAGUUAAGCAGAUCAUCGAUUCAUCCGACGACUACUACGUCACCGUCAGCAACCUGCGCGACCAAGACACAACGGCGACGCUGGAUUUCAGGAUCAGCUCCGUGCUCUACAACACGAGCGGAGCAGAGUACGCGUGCUCGCCGUCGCCGGGCAGCUCCGGCUGCAUCUACACGCUGCCGAUACUUGGGGAGAACGUGGCCGUCCUGUCGUCUGGUCUGAAAGAGGGCGUGAAGGUGGAGCUCUCGUACGGGCCGCGCUGGAUCAUCUACUUCGUCGGCUCAGCCAUCCUGGCGGUGGCGCUGCUGCUGCUGUACGAGGUGCUGAGCGUGCUGCUCGGGUUCUGCUGCGCCGUCGUGGCCGACCAGAGGACGACGACGACGGCCUCGUUGCUGGAGAGCAAGGAGGAGGAAGAGGGCGGGAGCCGGGGCUCGUCCUUCGAAUCAGUGUCCUCCCACGACGGCGAGGCGGGCGACGAGGAGGAGGGGCGGCGGCUGUGCGUGGUGUGCUGCGACGCCCGGAGGGACUGCUUCUUCAUGCCCUGCGGCCACUCCGCCACCUGCCACGCCUGCGGCACCAAGAUUGUUGAGGGAGAUGCUAGCUGCUGCCCGUUCUGCCGGAGGAAGCUGAAGAAGGUGAGGAGGAUCUUCUGCGUAUGA